Molecule: RNA transcript, 6212 nt
Organism: Hypanus sabinus (Atlantic stingray)
Lineage: Eukaryota; Metazoa; Chordata; Chondrichthyes; Myliobatiformes; Dasyatidae
Gene name: insulin receptor substrate 2-like
Exons: 5
Source: RefSeq, a predicted model, not a curated record
AGAUGCGCACACCCCGCGUCCAACUCUGCGCUUGCAACUAUGGUAACGCUAUUGAUUUCCAGCUCAGUUUGACCCACUGGAGAUAAACAAGGGGCUCCCUGUCUCAUGAUGGCUACGAACUUUCAAUUGAUUGAGUCCCCUUCUCCGCGUUUGUUCUGCAACACCUUUUCUGUGUCCACACAGAAUUCCAAGACUAAAAUCAGCGAAGAGCAAAUGUGAAAUUCUGUAAUCGCCUGAAUUUUACCUAUUUUGCCUAACUACGCAAUUAUUUUGUUUUUGAAUAAAAGAAAGGAACUAUUUGUCAACUGGGGCAGGAGGACCUAAGCACGGCGGGUUGGUUUCUACUACCUUAAGCCUGGGGGGGGGGGGGGGGGAGCACGUCCGGCUCUGGGUUCACCAGACGACUCGUAAUUGGCGGCUCUGUAGCCUUGUACUGGCAAAGACUGUUGGCUGGCCGGCCCUCGCCUCCUCCCCUCCUGGCCGCGCCCCGUACCUUCUGUGCCUCACUGAAAGCUGGCGUGUGUUACGGACGUCAUAUGUUGUUUUGCUCUUUAGCCAGUCAUAGUGUGUGUGUUUUAGUUAUAGCUAACCUUUCCACUCCGAUACACGUAGAGUAAGAGGAAGAGCAGGAAAAAAAUCCAGUACGUCAGUUUUCAUUUGGAAAAGGUGAAAAAUAACGCCCGCGACAUUUAUCUAUGUGUGAACAUUCUUUCUGAAUAAUGGCGAGCCCGCCAGCGGCAAAAGGAGGGUCAGCUGGUUAUCUCUCCCCGGCCAAGGUGAGGAAAUGCGGCUACUUGAAGAAACAGAAACACGGACACAAGAGGUUUUUCGUUCUUCGGGAGCAGAGCGGCAGUUUUCCGGCCAGACUCGAGUACUACGAAAAUGAGAAAAAGUGGAGGAACAAGUCGUCGGCCAAGAGGGUAAUCUCCUUGGACUGCUGUCUGAGCAUCAACAAGAGAGCGGACGCCAAGUACAAAUACCUGAUCGCGCUCUACACCAAAGAGGAAUACCUGGCGGUGGCGGCGGACAACGAGCAGGAGCAACAGAGCUGGUUCAGCGCGCUUACCGAGCUGUUGCCCUCCGCCUCCAGCUUGCCGCUGUCACACUGCACCGAGCACAGCGACUGUGGACUGCUUUACACCGCCCUGUACAAACAAGUGUGGCAAGUAAACCUGAAGCCUAAAGGCUUGGGCCAGGCCAAAAAUCUUAGCGGCUUUUACAUGCUGUGCCUUUCCAUCAGAAGCAUAAGCUUAGUAAAACUCAACUGUGACGUGCCGUCGGUCACCCUGCAGCUAAUGAACAUCAGGCGGUGCGGCCACUCGGAGAAUUUCUUCUUCAUUGAAGUGGGGAGGUCGGCGUCCACCGGCCCCGGGGAGCUGUGGAUGCAGGUGGAUGACUCGGUGGUGGCUCAGCAUAUUCAUGAAACCAUUCUCGAAGCUAUGAAAGCCAUGAAAGAUGUGUGCGAAUUCCGACCCCGCAGCAAGAGUCAGUCGUCCGGGUCCAAUCCAAUCAGCGUGCCCUGCCGGAGGCACCUGGUCCACCUACCGCCGAGCCAGACCGGGCUGCAGAGGAGAUCGCGGACUGACAGCAUGGCGACCCCAUCACCUGCUGGUAAGAUCGUACCGGGUCGUAUGAGGACAGCGAGUGAAGGGGAUAACAAUUCUAUGACUGGUAGCCCCAUUAGCCCCAGUACAGUGAGAACACACUUCAUUCGUUCAAGUACAAUAUUUAGAAAUCCCAGAAUGAUGCAGUCCAGUGUUCUUCACCACAGUCGAUCAAUGUCCAUGCCGGUGUCCCGUUCUCCCUUGUCUGCUGCAAGUCCAGUGAGCCUAUCAUCAAGUAGUGGGCAUGGGUCAGCAUCAGACACCAUAGUUCGCCCAUCCAGUAGCAAUGCAUCUGUUUCGGGAUCUCCAAGUGAUGGAGGAUUUAUUUCUUUCGAUGAAUGUGGUUCAAGUCCUGGAGACUUAAGGCAUUACAUAGGGAACAGAAGUAAUACUCCAGAAUCUCUUGCGUACACUCCACCUGUACGAGAGAGUAAUGAAUUGUAUGGCUAUAGGUUAAUGGAAAGACAUACAAGUGGUCAGUGUAACCGCAGCUGUUGUCAUACAGCAAGGGAUGAAAGUUCCGAAACACAGAGAAGUUACCGGAAAAGAACGUGUUCCUUAACAACCCCAUGCCGACAGCGUGCUAUUUCACAUGUUUCUUCAGUUUCACUAGAUGAAUAUACUUUAAUGAAAGCUACCUGCAUGGGCAAUUCAGGCCAUCUGUCGUGUGCUGUGUCCCCAAAAGUGUGCUAUAAUCCUUAUCCAGAAGACUAUUGUGAUAUUGAAAUAGGAUCCCAAAAAAGUUCUGAAUGCAGUAACUAUGGUGAUGAUGAUGGCUAUAUGCCAAUGACCCUUGGAAUGGUAAAUGUACCUGUAAAAAAUGAUGACUACAUGCCAAUGAGCCCCAAAUGUGUGUCUGCCCCAAAGCAAAUAAUUAAUCCUCGAUCACAUCCGCAAGUAAACAUAAAUGGAUAUAAGAACAUUUCUCCUGUUGAGUGCUGCUCACCUGAUACCAUUGGAUACAAGAGAAUGUGGUAUGGAUCAAAGAUUUCAGGAGAAAAUUCUGAUGGGAAGUUCACCAAUGAUGAAUAUAUGAACAUGUCUCCUGUUGAUCACUGUGCAUCAGUUACUCCCCCGGACUGUUUUUUCCCUGUAAGUAAUGAACGUCCUCGAUCCAGUGAUUCCUUUAGCUCACUACCCCAAUCUCGCAAGCCUCAUUUUCAGAAGGAUGGAGAAAAUGAUCAUUAUGUUCUGAUGAGUUCGCCACAUGCUGUUAUUUUUGAAGAGCCUGCACUUGGUAUAAAGUCUAACUCAUCCUGUGUAAUUAAUCAUGCUGUACAUUUACCAGUAAGGCAAAGUCAGAGGGAUGGUUUUGUACUUCGAGAAAAAGCUCUGAGACCCUCUAGACUGUCACUGGAGAUGCUAAGAGCCAACACACCACCAAGUACAAAUGAACCUUCUUUGCCACCGAAACCAAAAAGCCCAGGAGAAUACAUCAAUAUAGAUUUCAGCAACAAAUUUGUAUAUGCCUCACCAUCUGUGCCACCAAAAGUUUCCUUAUCUUCCUCAGAUUCUGCUAAUGUUCAGAAAAGGUUGCCAGCAUCUGAUUACAUGAAUGUUAAUCUCAGUUCACAGUCACCAAAGAAUGGAAUUGUUUCUGUCAAUUCCUUUGAUGCAAUAACUGGAUAUCCAGAGACAUGCCCCAACAGAAGUCAUCCUGCUGAUACUUUCCUGAAAAGUCAGGUUGAGACAACCCCCUUUUCUCACCCCUCAGAAGAUGAAACUGAAUAUACAGAAAUGACAUUUGUAAUGGCCACGACACCUCCACUACCAGAUUCAAACCAUGAAAGUACCCAAGUGGCUACAGUGGUGAAAAGACUUUCUCUAAUCGAUCAGAUGCCUGUGGUAGAUAUUUUCAUGCUUCCAAAUGUGGCACCAGAUCCCAAUCGGGGUGCUAAAGUAAUCCGUGCUAACCCCCAGGGACGCAGGCGGCAUAGCUCAGAGACAUUCUCUUCCACAACGACUGUCACACCGGUUUCACCUUCAUUUGCUCACGAUCCCAAAAGGCACAGUUCUGCUUCAUUUGAAAAUGUUUCUCUCAGAAAGAAUGAAGAAACUGAGGAGCUUAAAGGAAGCCCAAUCUGUCGCAAAACUUCCACUGGUUUCCAAGAUGGGCUGAAUUAUGUUGCCUUGGAUUUAGUGAAUGAUAAUUUAUUGAGCUGUGAAAAAAUAGCGCAACGUCGAUCAACACCUCAACCGAAAGGAAAUACUAACUAUUGAUACAGUUUCAAAAUAACGAAAAAGGAAAACAGCCCGAAGCAAAUGUUUGGGCGCCCUGCAUGAUUGCUGAACUCACAUUUGUAUUUAGUAAUAUGGCUUUUUCAAAAUGGCGUUUCUUCUUCCCAUAAGUCUUUGCUCUUGAAACGUCAUCUUGUAUUUGAACACGGGAUUUUUUUUAAAGGAGACCCAUAUCAGGAGGGAGGAUAAUCAACGUUUUUUUAGGUUCUGGAAGGGUCAACAAUUUCACUCGAAUUGUACCGCUAAAAUUAGGGGUGUGUCUAUUUUUAUAGACCCCUCAAUUUCGUUUACACAUCAUGAAAUUAUUUCUGACCCACAGGAUUGACCCAUCUACUCUAUUACUGGAACUUUGCAAAAAUGAUGCUGCUUAGAAGAUACCUUUGUCAAAUGCUGCUCAAGUUUACCUUUUCUCUUCAUCGUGAAUGGGUAGCUAAUAAUGCCUUGAGACCGUUAUAACACUGCAAUGCACAGCAUAUCUUCAAGGACAAGGAAGAUUUCUGCCUCAUUAGUUUCUGUUAUGGGUAUCGAUCAUCCUCUUUAUUUUCCAGGAGAAGUGCACUGAAGCUUUUCUUGUUCAGCAUUACAUUAACUGUUGCCUGUUUUGACUUGUUUUAAGAUGAGAUAUGGCCAGCAUUUAUUACUUUCCCAGUCUGGUAACACCUGGAUUGCAUUACCUUAAUCAAAAUGGCCAGUCAUCAGCUGAAUUGACAGAAAUGUUACUGACCUGCUACAAAUACUACCUCGUUUAAACACUAAAGCAGCCUUUAAUGGGAGAAGUACACAAACAGCAUUGGCAACGCUGAUCUCCCAAGAUACCAAAACAAUUUCAACAUUUGGAAGUACUGUACCAAUGUGGUAAGCUGGAAUUUUGGGGUUAUCAUGUUCAACAAAGACUCUGUUCAGUAGUUUUAGCCCACACCUGAAAAUCAGGAUGGGCUGACAGAAGUGCAAUUUCAGAUUACUGGACUUUGACCACAGGACACUGGAAAGACCCAUCAAAAUCCCAACAAGGAUUUCUGUAAAAACAAGAUGAUUAUUUUCAGUUUCCUUAGAGGGAAAAUAGGAAUCUGUUCAAAGGUUAUGUGCCUAAAAAGUUGUUUGUGAUUUGUAAUGUUAAAUGUAAUUUGUACUUUCUCCUCAAAAUUUUGAUCCAUUGACCAGAGAUAAAUUUCAAGGCAAUGUAAAGUUCUUGGUGUUUCUUACCCAUGAAUGCUACUUAUAUUGGGUGCAGAAUGUAGACUGUUCAGUGCUGCUUUUGACAGAUGUGACUGCACACAAACUUCCUGCUGACUUAUUUAUUAACAUUGGAACUGUUGACAAAAAUGUGCCAGAAAACCCUGAAUGUAGACACGAUUUUUUGCAAGUGAUAGAAUUUUCACCACAGAACUAUGUGAAGUUCUCCUCCUUUUGCUGGAGGUCAGUUCCCUUGUAGUCAUGGUUGAUGAUGUGUGUAAAUAACAUGCAAGUAAAAUCUAUAUUGUGAACAUUGCUUAUUUUUACAUAAGAUAAAAAUGGAAAGAACCUAGGUACAGUGGCUGAAUCAGCAUUAAAAGCUACUUAUAACCAUAGCACUGAAAGAAACGCUGACUUGGAAUUUAAUUGCCUUGACAUCAGCAGGACAUUGGAAUGAACUGAAAUCAGUGGAGCAUUUUCCAUUGGAAACAGGUUUUGUAACCUCACAGAAAUGUUUGAAUGUACGAUUCAGACUUACGUAUGGAAUAUUUUACAUCCUUAGUUUACAGUUUGAACCUAUAGUUACUCUUUUCACUAGAAUGUAUAGCAACAUUUGUUAUCUGUAUAUUUUGCUAUUUUCAGUUUAAGGCAUGCGUUUUUCCUCAUGAACUUGUAUAAACCUUGAACAAUAUAAAAAACAGGGUUUUCAUGUUAAUUUUUUAGUCUAGAGAUGAAAGAUAAUAUGUAUUACUACUUGUAAGUAGACAAAAGAUUAUUGUAAUCUUAUCAUAUUUUGCUGUCUUCCAUUUUAUGUACUGUAUAUAGGUUUUGAUGUAAUGCUGCCGGAAGAUGAGAAACUAAUUUAGAAUAGUGUAUUAUGCUUUCUCUAAAUUGAAUGUUCUUGAAUGUUCCCUUGAUAGCAUUACACAACACAAUAAUCUAACACUUCUGAAAAAUGUUGUUUCCUAAUUUUAAUUAUCAAUAAUUUGACUGUAUUAGCAAUACAAUUAGCUCCAGCUACAAAUUUCCAUAGCAUCUCUCUUUCCUUAUUGACUGGGAUGAAUUCGGAAGUCCUGAUGUACCUGUGGACUGUGCUGGCAGCUGAUAGGAAGCAGCAGAGUAUUUUCUGCAGCUUGUUUGUCACAGCUACUUUAAUUUGGCCAUUGUAUUAACAUAAAUAAAACAGAAGCAUAACAA